This 350-nucleotide transfer-messenger RNA is filed under the name Gammaproteobacteria (g-proteobacteria). RNAcentral's name for it is "AG-339-G14 sp003282105 Standard tmRNA". It matches the Rfam family "transfer-messenger RNA". From Rfam's summary of the family: Bacterial tmRNA, also known as 10Sa RNA or SsrA, is named for its dual tRNA and mRNA-like properties. Its role is to liberate the mRNA from a stalled ribosome. To accomplish this part of the tmRNA is used as a reading frame that ends in a translation stop signal. Lineage: Bacteria; Pseudomonadati; Pseudomonadota. The record is from RNAcentral. RNAcentral also lists the same sequence under 1 other name.
GGGGGCGAAAUGGAUUAGACAUUUAUUUGAGAACCUGAAAGGCAUGUCGAGAUGGUAACAAUCUCGUUAAAUUUAGUUACGAAACAUUUAGUUGGCAAUAAAGCAAACUACGCACUAGCCGCAUAAUUCGGCUAGCUUUCUUGGCCUGACACCUAUUAAGGUUAAAGAAAGUCACUAAAUAGGUUGCUUGAGAAAAUUUUUCUGGAGUUUUCUCAAAAAGAAUUUACAGAAUAUAUUUUAUUUAUCCUGCUCAUCGGAGAAAUAAAAAAGAAAUAAUAGAUGAAACUAAACAUGUAGAACUGAAGGGGAUGAAUCGAUGGACGCGGGUUCGAUACCCGCCGCCUCCACCA